ACCGGUUGAGUACCCCCCGUCGGAUGAGCGCUUCUAUCUCAUCCCGGAGUUGGUAGCAGUCCUCCGUGUCGUGCCCACGAUCUCGGUGGAAGCGGCAAUACUUCCUGGGAUUCCGGGGGAAUCCCGUGUCUCGCAUAGGAGGCGGGGGUCAGAAGAAGUCCCGACCCUCGAUUUCCAUCAGGAUUUCGGCCCGGGAAGCGUUGACGGGUGUGUAGUUCUCGUACUUUCCCGGGUACGUCCGAGGCCGUGGUGGGGACCUCGGCCGAGGAGGGGUCCUUUGCUGAGAUCGCCUCUGCUGUCGGGGCGGACUUCUCAGUCUGGGGAGGUUCUUCUCUCGGCGGGGGGAUCGGCUCCUUUGUCGGCCGCGCUCCUCGCGGCGUCUCUUCUGCUUCUUCGAGGCGG
This 402-nucleotide long non-coding RNA is filed under the name Phoenix dactylifera (date palm). RNAcentral's name for it is "long non-coding RNA (PDAC_LNC020332)". Lineage: Eukaryota; Viridiplantae; Streptophyta; Magnoliopsida; Arecales; Arecaceae. The record is from RNAcentral.